UACGUAGGGGGCAAGCGUUAUCCGGAUUUACUGGGUGUAAAGGGAGCGUAGGCGGCGAUGCAAGUCAGAAGUGAAAGCCCGGGGCUCAACUCCGGGACUGCUUUUGAAACUGUAUGGCUAGAUUGCAGGAGAGGCAAGUGGAACUCCAUGUGUAGCGGUAAAAUGCGUAGAUAUAUGGAAGAACACCAGUGGCGAAGGCGGCCGCCUGGCCUGUUACUGACGCUGAGGCACGAAAGCGUGGGGAGCAAAUAGG
This 253-nucleotide ribosomal RNA is filed under the name uncultured Coprococcus sp. Its description in RNAcentral is "partial 16S ribosomal RNA". It matches the Rfam family "Bacterial small subunit ribosomal RNA", at positions 524 to 776 of the family's 1533-position model. The record is from RNAcentral. Lineage: Bacteria; Bacillati; Bacillota; Clostridia; Lachnospirales; Lachnospiraceae.